ACAUAUUUGACCUAUAUUUUAUUUGUGAACAUGUAGUAAUCACCCAGUAGAAAGCAAGCUCUUUGAAGGCAGACACUGCCUGCACCUAACAUGGGGUUGGCACAUAGAAGGCAAUUAAAUCCUUGUUGACUGAUUUGGAUAUCCCUCCCUAGUAUAUAAAUUGCAAAGAUGGAGCACAGUUAGAGGUAAAGAUGAUGGAGUAUAAGCAAGGACACAGCUGAACUAUCCUGAUAUCCCCUUCCAAAAAACUUUAAAGUGAUGUCUCAAAUAAAAUUCUGGAUUGGCAGAGCCAGUAAAAGUUGCAUAAGACAAUGUAGGGAAGUCUGAAAAAGAGGUCUGUACCACUAAGAUGGGUGCAGCCCCUGAGCCACAGUAGGAGGCAGCUGCUUCAGGAGCUCAGAGCCCAUAUGCUCUCUAAUUGCCUUACUAAUGAUAAAGCUCUUCAAUUUCAUCAUUCUCUGCACUUUACCCUUGAAUCAAGAUGGCUCACUCUAUGUACCCGAGACCCUCCAAACCUUGCCUCCUUAUCUCUUAUAUCUGGAACAUUCUCCUUUUUUGACUAUCCAAUUAUUCUUCUUCAAAGUCAAAGGUAGUAACUUCCUCCACGUGGCCUUAGCUAAUCCUCCAGAAGGUGAUAAACCUCUUAAAUCCAUAUAGCACUUUAUGACUCUUUUCUGUAUUUUGUGAAGCAAAAUGCUAUGAUAAAGAGGAAAGUCUGAGGUGGAGAUGGCUUUAGGUCUCUGAAACAUCUAGCUAUAUAUGUCCAAGGGAUAAAUCACAUCAUCUUAAUGGCCCAGGCAAUUAAGACAUCAAUUUACAAAUGAGUUACAAAUCUGCAUCAAUCUGCAGAGGAAGUUUCUACACUGGGAACUGAGAUAAAAUCAGGUCUGAACUGGUUCCCCACCCUCUUCUUCCUUCUCCAAAUUUAUCAGGCAAUAUAUUAUUAGUUAGAUUCGCCUUAUUCCAAGUAGACACAAGAGACUGAAAGCAACUAAUCAUCUCUUAGAAAUUUGUUUCUCUCAGCAUCUAUGCUCUAUACAGUACUUCAAAAUUUAUCAAAUGAACAAAUAUCUACAGGAUCAUAGGAUCUUAAACUGGAAGGAGCCUUGGAAACCUAGUCCAAUCCAUUUAUUUGGUGGAAACUGAGGCACAGAGAAGUUGACACCCACAGAUUACACAUUUCACACAGCUUCCUAGUAUAAUAAAUGACAUUAUUUAUUCUUCUUUUCCACAUUCAAAUUGUCUAACCAACAAUUCUUAGCUAUUCCCCUGAUCUAACUCCUGCCUGCUCCCUACAAUGUCCUGUCUGUGGAAAAUCUUGUUUUCCUUAAAGGGUUAGCAAAUUCUACAAUCUCUAUGAAACUUUCUGUGCUUCCUCCUCUAACUCCCACUGAAAAUUAUUUUAAAGUAGUAGUACUCAAGAUAGGCCUUGCGCCAUUA
This 1440-nucleotide long non-coding RNA is filed under the name Sarcophilus harrisii (Tasmanian devil). Its description in RNAcentral is "lncRNA (ENSSHAG00000030282.1)". The record is from RNAcentral. Lineage: Eukaryota; Metazoa; Chordata; Mammalia; Dasyuromorphia; Dasyuridae.